UGCUCACUGGCUACUUGUUCACAUGACA
This 28-nucleotide non-coding RNA is filed under the name Mus musculus (house mouse). The record is from RNAcentral. Lineage: Eukaryota; Metazoa; Chordata; Mammalia; Rodentia; Muridae.